AUUGAACGCUGGCGGCAUGCCUUACACAUGCAAGUCGAACGGUAACGCGGGGCAACCUGGCGACGAGUGGCGAACGGGUGAGUAAAGCAUCGGAACGUGCCCAGUAGUGGGGGAUAGCCCGGCGAAAGCCGGAUUAAUACCGCAUACGACCUACGGGUGAAAGGGGGGGAUCGCAAGACCUCUCGCUAUUGGAGCGGCCGAUGUCAGAUUAGGUAGUUGGUGGGGUAAAGGCCUACCAAGCCGACGAUCUGUAGCUGGUCUGAGAGGACGACCAGCCACACUGGGACUGAGACACGGCCCAGACUCCUACGGGAGGCAGCAGUGGGGAAUUUUGGACAAUGGGCGCAAGCCUGAUCCAGCCAUGCCGCGUGCGGGAAGAAGG
This 382-nucleotide ribosomal RNA is filed under the name uncultured bacterium. RNAcentral describes it as "bacterial SSU rRNA". It matches the Rfam family "Bacterial small subunit ribosomal RNA", at positions 29 to 414 of the family's 1533-position model. The record is from RNAcentral.